AUUCCAUUCCCUAUGUUAUCACCUGAAAACAGCUCUAGUGCAUUUCUUCUUGAUAACAUAUACCCUUGUCUGCCCUGCCUUGACUUACCUUCCGUCUUCAACCCUAGCUAGCCUUGACUUACCUUCUGUCUUUGAGUAAGGAGUUCUUUGUUUGUGGGGAGAUAAAGGAUCCUAUACUAUACUUCUGCGCUCGAUGGAUCAGUAUUUGAAGAGUUUACUGAGGCGCGUUAAGUAUUGUCUGUUGAGUUAAGUUCGCCACUUAUGGUUAAUGCAAGUAUAUUUGGUUUGUGUAUAAAUGUUUGUAUAUAAAUGGUCAUUUAGAUAAAUGGUAAUUAGAGAUAGAUUCCUUUCCUGUCC
RNAcentral lists this long non-coding RNA (357 nucleotides) under Musa acuminata (dwarf banana). RNAcentral's name for it is "long non-coding RNA (MACU_LNC009862)". The record is from RNAcentral. Lineage: Eukaryota; Viridiplantae; Streptophyta; Magnoliopsida; Zingiberales; Musaceae.